This 253-nucleotide ribosomal RNA is filed under the name uncultured bacterium. RNAcentral describes it as "partial 16S ribosomal RNA". It matches the Rfam family "Bacterial small subunit ribosomal RNA", at positions 524 to 776 of the family's 1533-position model. The record is from RNAcentral.
UACGUAGGGACCAAGCGUUGUCCGGAAUCAUUGGGCGUAAAGCGCGCGUAGGCGGCCCGGUAAGUCCGUUGUAAAAGUCAAAGGCUCAACCUUUGAAUGCCGAUGGAUACUGCCGGGCUAGAGUCCGGAAGAGGCGAGUAGAAUUCCUGGUGUAGCGGUGGAAUGCGCAGAUAUCAGGAGGAAUACCCAUAGCGAAGGCAGCUCGCUGGGACGGUACUGACGCUAAGGAGCGAAAGCGUGGGGAGCGAACAGG